RNAcentral lists this ribosomal RNA (788 nucleotides) under uncultured bacterium. Its description in RNAcentral is "bacterial SSU rRNA". It matches the Rfam family "Bacterial small subunit ribosomal RNA", at positions 8 to 796 of the family's 1533-position model. The record is from RNAcentral.
AGAGUUUGAUCAUGGCUCAGGAUGAACGCUGGCGGCGCGCUUAACACAUGCAAGUCGAACGAAGCGCUUGAAUGGAAUUCUUCGGAAGGAAGCUCAAGUGACUGAGUGGCGGACGGGUGAGUAACGCGUGGGUAACCUGCCUCAUACAGGGGGAUAACAGUUAGAAAUGACUGCUAAUACCGCAUAAGCACACGUGAUCGCAUGAUCGAGUGUGAAAAACUCCGGUGGUAUGAGAUGGACCCGCGUCUGAUUAGCUAGUUGGUGGGGUAAUGGCCCACCAAGGCGACGAUCAGUAGCCGGCCUGAGAGGGUGAACGGCCACAUUGGGACUGAGACACGGCCCAAACUCCUACGGGAGGCAGCAGUGGGGAAUAUUGCACAAUGGGGGAAACCCUGAUGCAGCGACGCCGCGUGAAGGAUGAAGUAUUUCGGUAUGUAAACUUCUAUCAGCAGGGAAGAAAAUGACGGUACCUGACUAAGAAGCCCCGGCUAACUACGUGCCAGCAGCCGCGGUAAUACGUAGGGGGCAAGCGUUAUCCGGAUUUACUGGGUGUAAAGGGAGCGUAGACGGCAGUGCAAGUCUGAAGUGAAAGCCCGGGGCUCAACCCCGGGACUGCUUUGGAAACUGUGCAGCUAGAGUGUCGGAGAGGCAAGCGGAAUUCCUAGUGUAGCGGUGAAAUGCGUAGAUAUUAGGAGGAACACCAGUGGCGAAGGCGGCUUGCUGGACGAUGACUGACGUUGAGGCUCGAAAGCGUGGGGAGCAAACAGGAUUAGAUACCCUGGUAGUCC